CCUACGGGUGGCAGCAGUGGGGGAUAUUGCACAAUGGGCGAAACCCUGAUGCAGCGACGCCGCGUGGGCGAAGAAGUAUUUCGGUAUGUAAAGCUCUAUUAGCAGGGAAGAAGAAAUGACGGUACCUGAGGAAGAAGCACCGGCUAAAUACGUGCCAGCAGCCGCGGUAAUACGUAUGGUGCAAGCGUUGUCCGGAUUUACUGGGGGUAAAGGGAGCGCAGGCGUCACGGCAAGUCUGAUGUGAAAGCCCGCGGCCCAACCGCGGAACUGCAUUGGAAACUGCCGGUCUGGAGUGCCGGAGAGGUAGGCGGAAUUCCUGGUGUAGCGGUGAAAUGCGUAGAUAUUAGGAAGAACACCAGUGGCGAAGGCGGCCUACUGGACGGUAACUGACGCUGAGGCGCGAAAGCGUGGGGAGCAAACAGGAUUAGAUACCCGGGUAGUC
RNAcentral lists this ribosomal RNA (442 nucleotides) under uncultured bacterium. Its description in RNAcentral is "partial 16S ribosomal RNA". It matches the Rfam family "Bacterial small subunit ribosomal RNA", at positions 338 to 795 of the family's 1533-position model. The record is from RNAcentral.